This 253-nucleotide ribosomal RNA is filed under the name uncultured bacterium. Its description in RNAcentral is "partial 16S ribosomal RNA". It matches the Rfam family "Bacterial small subunit ribosomal RNA", at positions 524 to 776 of the family's 1533-position model. The record is from RNAcentral.
UACGUAGGGUCCGAGCGUUGUCCGGAGUUACUGGGCGUAAAGCGCGCGCAGGCGGUCCCGCGCGCCCGGCGUGAAAGCCCCCGGCUCAACCGGGGAGGGUCGUCGGGGACGGCGGGACUUGAGGGCGGUAGGGGCCGGUGGAAUCCCUGGUGUAGUGGUGAAAUGCGUAGAGAUCAGGGGGAACACCCGUGGCGAAGGCGGCCGGCUGGGCCGACCCUGACGCUGAGGCGCGAAGGCGUGGGGAGCGAACAGG